UUAGUCAAAGGGCAGAGAUCGGAAUUCAAAAAUUGCUAAGUAUUCGAAUGAGCACUCAGAGAGAAAGAAAGAGCGCCUCUUACAAAGAGCAUAACGACGCGGACAAUUUGUAGCAGAGUGUCAACGAAGCUGAUUCUAUUUUCGAGACGACGUGCGUGGCUAUCUUUCCGCCCUGUUCCCUCGUCUUUCUCUGUCUCCACCUACUACUCCAUCGUUUUUCAGCCUGUUGCACCGAGUUACCCCGGUGUGGCGUAAAUUUACACGCGAUUAAUCCGUCCUCGUAGCCGUCUCUUGUUAUCCAGACACGCGAUUCCUCAAUCUGUUCCAUAAAAAUAACAAAAAUGCAAAAAGACAUAGAGUGGCUCACGACACGUACGCAUGCAUGAAAAUCGUCGACUAUUCGGAUUUCAAAGAGAGUUAAGAGUGUUCCUUAUAAAGUGUUUGAAUUAUUUUUGGGUCCUUUAGAGGAAAGUUUUGUUCAGCAUGGAAAAAAUUGGAUGAUGGUGAUAUGGAGAAUCAUUCUUAUUUUGUUGUGAUGUUAACUGGAUUGACAACAAAUUGGAAAUAUAGUAUUUUGGUUUUCAGAAUAUAAAUAUUUAUUGUUUAUUUCUCCAACACGGAAAUAUUUAUCUGCAAAAUAAAAUGGAAAUUAAAUUAUAUUGAAUUUUUUUUAUAUUAACAUGUAUUUGUAGAUUUCCUAAAUUUCCAAGCAUCGAUAAAAAAGAUACCUCAAGAUUGGGCAAUGAUGGCCAUGGAAAAAAACAGGUGAAAACUUAUGUGAAUAUUUUGUUAUAUUACAAUAUACUAUAUAAUUCUCGGUACAUGAAUAAAGUCUGCGUGCACAGGUGGAAUAUUGUGCAUGAUAAAAACACUCGCGCACAAAAAUGUUCUUUCGCGAUUUCUUUUCUUUUUAAUACUUGAGUUUAAACAAUUCUGAUUGGCUCAUGGGGAAUGAUUGACAGAAGAAUGGAUAUUACACGUGCGAAAUACACGUUACCUAGCCUCCAAUCGACUAAUCUUCCUCAAGAAGGUCAUCGUCAAGAUUCACACCCUGAAACAAAAAACGCAUUUUCUAUAGUUAAUAAUUUUAAAAAAUCAUGAACUUAUGUGCUAUGCGAUAUAUUUAAUUGUUACUACCAUAAAUUAAUUUUCUUUUAUUCUUUUUCUUUGAGAUUUUAUUUAACAAAGUUUUCUUCAAUCAUUUUUAUUGUUGUCUAUGUAAUAUAAUAAAAUGAAUAAUUAAAAGAAAUAUAUAUUUAAUUAAAA
This is a long non-coding RNA of Apis cerana (Asiatic honeybee), 1266 nucleotides long. RefSeq lists it as uncharacterized. The record is from RefSeq and is a predicted model, not a curated record. NCBI's taxonomy places the organism in Eukaryota, Metazoa, Arthropoda, Insecta, Hymenoptera, Apidae.